UACCCCAAACCGACACAGGUGGUCGGGUAGAGAAUACCAAGGCGCUUGAGAGAACUCGGGUGAAGGAACUAGGCAAAAUGGUACCGUAACUUCGGGAGAAGGUACGCUGCCCUUGGUGAAGUCCCUUGCGGAUGGAGCUGAAGGCAGUCGCAGAUACCAGGUGGCUGCAACUGUUUAUUAAAAACAUAGCACUGUGCAAAUUCGAAAGAAGACGUAUACGGUGUGACGCCUGCCCGGUGCCGGAAGGUUAAUUGAUGGGGUUAGUCUUCGGAUGAAGCUCUUGAUCGAAGCCCCGGUAAACGGCGGCCGUAACUAUAACGGUCCUAAGGUAGCGAAAUUCCUUGUCGGGUAAGUUCCGACCUGCACGAAUGGCGUAAUGAUGGCCACGCUGUCUCCACCCGAGACUCAGUGAAAUUGAAAUCGCAGUGAAGAUGCUGUGUACCCGCGGCUAGACGGAAAGACCCCGUGAACCUUUACUACAGCUUGGCACUGAACAUUGAGCUACAUGUGUAGGAUAGGUGGGAGCUUUGAAGCGGUGACGCCAGUUGCCGUGGAGCCGACCUUGAAAUACCACCCUUGUAUGUUUGAUGUUCUAACUUGGCCCCGUUAUCGGGGUGAGGACAGUGCCUGGUGGGUAGUUUGACUGGGGCGGUCUCCUCCCAAAGCGUAACGGAGGAGCACGAAGGUGGGCUAAUCACGGUCGGACAUCGUGAGGUUAGUGCAAUGGCAUAAGCCGCUUGACUGCGAGAAUGACGGUUCGAGCAGGUGCGAAAGCAGGUCAUAGUGAUCCGGUGGUUCUGAAUGGAAGGGCCAUCGCUCAACGGAUAAAAGGUACUCCGGGGAUAACAGGCUGAUACCGCCCAAGAGUUCAUAUCGACGGCGGUGUUUGGCACCUCGAUGUCGGCUCAUCACAUCCUGGGGCUGAAGUCGGUCCCAAGGGUAUGGCUGUUCGCCAUUUAAAGUGGUACGCGAGCUGGGUUUAGAACGUCGUGAGACAGUUCGGUCCCUAUCUGCCGUGGGCGUUGGAGAAUUGAGAGGGGCUGCUCCUAGUACGAGAGGACCGGAGUGGACGAACCUCUGGUGUUCGGGUUGUCACGCCAGUGGCAUUGCCCGGUAGCUAAGUUCGGAAUCGAUAACCGCUGAAAGCAUCUAAGCGGGAAGCGAGCCUCAAGAUGAGUUCUCCCUGAUACUUUAAGUAUCCUAAAGGGUUGUCGGAGACUACGACGUAGAUAGGCAGGGUGUGUAAGCGCUGUGAGGCGUUGAGCUAACCUGUACUAAUUGCCCGUGAGGCUUAACC
Molecule: ribosomal RNA, 1297 nt
Filed under: Photobacterium sp. JCM 19050
Lineage: Bacteria; Pseudomonadati; Pseudomonadota; Gammaproteobacteria; Vibrionales; Vibrionaceae
Description: bacterial LSU rRNA
Rfam family: Bacterial large subunit ribosomal RNA
Source: RNAcentral